GACGAACGCUGGCGGCGUGCCUAAUACAUGCAAGUCGAGCGGACCAAAGGGAGCUUGCUCCUGGAGGUUAGCGGCGGACGGGUGAGUAACACGUGGGCAACCUGCCUGUAAGACUGGGAUAACAUCGAGAAAUCGGUGCUAAUACCGGAUAAUAAAAAGAACUGCAUGGUUCUUUUUUGAAAGAUGGUUUCGGCUAUCACUUACAGAUGGGCCCGCGGCGCAUUAGCUAGUUGGUGGGUAACGGCUCACCAAGGCGACGAUGCGUAGCCGACCUGAGAGGGUGAUCGGCCACACUGGGACUGAGACACGGCCCAGACUCCUACGGGAGGCAGCAGUAGGGAAUCUUCCGCAAUGGACGAAAGUCUGACGGAGCAACGCCGCGUGAGUGAUGAAGGUUUUCGGAUCGUAAAACUCUAGUUGUUAGGGAAGAACAAGUGCCGUUCGAAAGGGCGGCACCUUGACGGUACCUAACGAGAAAGCCACGGCUAACUACGUGCCAGCAGCCGCGGU
Molecule: ribosomal RNA, 510 nt
Filed under: uncultured bacterium
Lineage: Bacteria
Description: bacterial SSU rRNA
Rfam family: Bacterial small subunit ribosomal RNA
Source: RNAcentral